This 1556-nucleotide unclassified non-coding RNA is filed under the name uncultured Sphaeropleales. RNAcentral describes it as "sequence contains 18S rRNA gene, ITS1, 5.8S rRNA gene, ITS2, 28S rRNA gene". The stretch from base 631 to 1556 matches the Rfam family "Eukaryotic large subunit ribosomal RNA", at positions 1 to 961 of the family's 3401-position model. The record is from RNAcentral. Lineage: Eukaryota; Viridiplantae; Chlorophyta; Chlorophyceae; Sphaeropleales.
GGAAGGAUCAUUGAAUCUAUCAUUCCACAACGUGAACCAACCGUCAUGUGCUUGCCUUACACCCGUCGAAGCUUAGGUCCAGUAGCUAUUGGUUUCACUACCAUAAGCGAACGACUUUGGUGGAGGGAGUUUGGCAUAAGCAUGUGUACCCACUCCGCUGUUGGCCCAACAUUACCGGGCAACAGCAUAAAACCAAAAUCUGAAGUUAAGGUGGCUAUUCAAUUGGCGCCUAUAACAAAGACAACUCUCAACAACGGAUAUCUUGGCUCUCGCAACGAUGAAGAACGCAGCGAAAUGCGAUACGUAGUGUGAAUUGCAGAAUUCCGUGAACCAUCGAAUCUUUGAACGCAUAUUGCGCUCGCGACCUCGGUCAAGAGCAUGUCUGCCUCAGCGUCGUUUUGACACCUCACUCCCAUACUUGUUUUUAAGUAUAGUUCAUCUGGUCGAGACCAGUUUGACGGGAGUGGAUCUGGCUCCCUCGGCUUUGCAGCCGGGUUGGCCCAAAGAGCGAGGCUAGAGCACGGACCCAUUAUGGGCAUCAACUGGAUAGGUAGACGUGCCUUAGGUACACUACACGAAGUUGCUUGCUUGUGGACUGUGUUGACUGCCGAACAGGAAUUUUCUCAUAUUCGACCUGAGCUCAGGCAAGACUACCCACUGAACUUAAGCAUAUCAAUAAGUGGAGGAAAAGAAACUAACAAGGAUUGCCCUAGUAACGGCGAGCGAACCGGCAAUAGCCCAACUUGAAAAUCUCCCUUUGGAGAAUUGUAGUCUAUAGAAGUACCCUCUGCAACGGGCGGGACCCAAGUCUCCUGGAAAGGGGCGUCAAAGAGGGUGAGAACCCCGUCGGACCUUGCCUUGUUGCCUCACGAGGUGCUUUCGGAGAGUCGGGUUGCUUGGGAAUGCAGCCCUAAGUUGGUGGUAAAUCCCAUCUAAGGCUAAAUAUUGGCGAGAGACCGAUAGCGAACAAGUACCGUGAGGGAAAGAUGAAAAGAACUUUGAAAAGAGAGUUAAAAAGUGCUUGAAAUUGUUGAGGGGGAAGCGUUUGAAUGCUCGGGUGCGCCUAGGCUUAUGUAGUCUUAACGGGCUGCUGUAUGUGCUAGGUGCUGGCCAACAUGGGUUGGACUAGUAGGAUAACAGCUGGGGUUGUUACCCGGUCUAUACUACUGGCUUGACCAAGGCAUGAAGACUGCCCUUGUCCUUCGGGAACUGCAGUCUCAAGAUGUUGGCGUAAAGCUUUCAACCGACCCGUCUUGAAACACGGACCAAGGAGUCUAACAUGUAUGCGAGCUGGUGGGUGGAAAACCCAUGAAGCGCAAGUAACCUGACUGGUGGGAUGGCCUGUGCCUGCACCAUCGACCGACCAUGAGCUUCUGCGAAAGGUUUGAGUACGAGCAUACCUGUUGGGACCCGAAAGAUGGUGAACUAUGCCUGAGCAGGGCGAAGCCAGAGGAAACUCUGGUGGAGGCUCGUAGAUGUGCUGACGUGCAAAUCGCUUUUCGGACUUGGGUAUAGGGGCGAAAGACUAAUCGAACCAUCUAGUAGCUGGUUUCCUC